CCUACGGGAGGCAGCAGUGAGGAAUAUUGGUCAAUGGACGAGAGUCUGAACCAGCCAAGUAGCGUGAAGGAUGACUGCCCUAUGGGUUGUAAACUUCUUUUAUAUGGGAAUAAAAUGUUCCACGUGUGGGAUUUUGUAUGUACCAUAUGAAUAAGGAUCGGCUAACUCCGUGCCAGCAGCCGCGGUAAUACAGAGGAUCCGAGCGUUAUCCGGAUUUAUUGGGUUUAAAGGGUGCGUAGGUGGGUUGUUAAGUCAGUUGUGAAAGUUUGCGGCUCAACCGUAAAAUUGCAGUUGAAACUGGCAGUCUUGAGUACAGUAGAGGUGGGCGGAAUGCGUGGUGUAGCGGUGAAAUGCUUAGAUAUCACGAAGAACUCCGAUUGCGAAGGCAGCUCACUGGACUGCAACUGACACUGAGGCUCGAAAGCGUGGGUAUCGAACAGGAUUAGAUACCCCUGUAGUC
This 460-nucleotide ribosomal RNA is filed under the name uncultured bacterium. RNAcentral's name for it is "partial 16S ribosomal RNA". It matches the Rfam family "Bacterial small subunit ribosomal RNA", at positions 338 to 795 of the family's 1533-position model. The record is from RNAcentral.